GGAUAGCAGCGCGUUGACCAGCGCAAACGACAUCUUGUCAAUGACUAAACCGCCUCACACGCGGAAGGUCACUGGUUCGAUCCCAGUCGGGACCA
This 95-nucleotide transfer RNA is filed under the name Mycobacterium sp. RNAcentral describes it as "tRNA-Val". Lineage: Bacteria; Bacillati; Actinomycetota; Actinomycetes; Mycobacteriales; Mycobacteriaceae. The record is from RNAcentral.